UGUAUGUAAGCGUAUUACCGGUGGAGUUCUUAUAUAUAUUAAAUACUUGUAUUUAUAUGUAUUCCUCCUAUUUAAACCUGCUUCAGUGCUCUUCAUUGCGUGCUGUUGUAGGCCGGUACAAUUACUUUGAACAAAUUAGAGUGCUUAAAGCAGGCUCCAAAUGCCUGAAUAUUUUGUGCAUGGAAUAAUGAAAUAAGACCUCUGUUCUACUUUCAUUGGUUUUUAGAUCAAGAGGUAAUGAUUAAUAGAAGCAGUUUGGGGGCAUUAGUAUUACGACGCGAGAGGUGAAAUUCUUGGACCGUCGUAAGACUAACUUAAGCGAAAGCAUUUGCCAAAGAUGUUUUCAUUAAUCAAGAACGAAAGUUAGAGGUUCGAAGGCGAUCAGAUACCGCCCUAGUUCUAACCAUAAACGAUGCCAGCUAGCAAUUGGGUGUAGCUACUAUUAUGGCUCUCUCAGUCGCUUCCCGGGAAACCAAAGCUUUUGGGCUCCGGGGGAAGUAUGGUUGCAAAGCUGAAACUUAAAGGAAUUGACGGAAGGGCACCACCAGGAGUGGAGCCUGCGGCUUAAUUUGACCCAACACGGGAAAACUUACCAGGUCCGAACAUAAGCGUGUAAGACAGAUUGAUAGCUCUUUCUCGAAUCUAUGGGUGGUGGUGCAUGGCCGUUCUUAGUUCGUGGAGUGAUUUGUCUGGUUAAUUCCGAUAACGAACGAGACUCAAGUAUAUUAAAUAGAUGCUUUCAGGAUUAUGGUGUUUGAAGCUUUUAUAGCCUUCAUUCAUGAAUGCAGUAACAUGUGUGAGUGUUUGAAUGUGUUUAUAAAGGUGGAGCCGUACCUGUUGGUUUGUCCCAUUAUAAGGACACUAGCUUCUUAAAUGGACAAAUUGCGUCUAGCAAUAAUGAGAUUGAGCAAUAACAGGUCUGUGAUGCCCUUAGAUGUCCUGGGCUGCACGCGCGCUACAAUGAAAGUAUCAACGUGUAUUUCCUAGACCGAGAGGUCCGGGUAAACCGCUGAACCACUUUCAUGCUUGGGAUUGUGAACUGAAACUGUUCACAUGAACUUGGAAUUCCCAGUAAGUGUGAGUCAUUAACUCGCAUUGAUUACGUCCCUGCCCUUUGUACACACCGCCCGUCGCUACUACCGAUUGAAUUAUUUAGUGAGGUCUCCGGACGUGAUCACUGUAACGCCUUGCGUGUUACGGAUGUUUCGCAAAAGUUGACCGAACUUGAUUAUUUAGAGGAAGUAAAAGUC
This 1250-nucleotide ribosomal RNA is filed under the name metagenome. RNAcentral's name for it is "SSU rRNA". It matches the Rfam family "Eukaryotic small subunit ribosomal RNA", at positions 635 to 1790 of the family's 1831-position model. The record is from RNAcentral.